UACAGAGGGUGCGAGCGUUGUCCGGAAUCACUGGGCGUAAAGGGCGCGUAGGUGGUGGCCCAAGUCCGUGGUGAAAGCUCGAUGCUCAACAUCGAGUCGGCCACGGAUACUGGGUUGCUCGAGCACUGUAGGGGCAGAUGGAAUUCCGGGUGUAGCGGUGGAAUGCGUAGAGAUCCGGAAGAACACCGGUGGCGAAGGCGGCGACCUGGUCCUAUACUGACACUCAUACACGAAAGCGUGGGGAUCAAACAGG
This 253-nucleotide ribosomal RNA is filed under the name uncultured prokaryote. Its description in RNAcentral is "partial 16S ribosomal RNA". It matches the Rfam family "Bacterial small subunit ribosomal RNA", at positions 524 to 776 of the family's 1533-position model. The record is from RNAcentral.